UGGCUCAGUUGGUAAGAGCAUGACACUAACAAUGGCAGGGUUGUGGGUUCAAUUCUCGC
RNAcentral lists this transfer RNA (59 nucleotides) under Salmo salar (Atlantic salmon). It matches the Rfam family "tRNA", at positions 8 to 63 of the family's 71-position model. From Rfam's summary of the family: Transfer RNA (tRNA) molecules are approximately 80 nucleotides in length. Their secondary structure includes four short double-helical elements and three loops (D, anti-codon, and T loops). Lineage: Eukaryota; Metazoa; Chordata; Actinopteri; Salmoniformes; Salmonidae. RNAcentral also lists the same sequence under 2 other names. The record is from Rfam by way of RNAcentral.